GUAAAUGGCUGCAUAAAUCUGAGUGUACGAAGGUAGCAUGAUAAUUUGUCCUUUAAAUGGGGGCCUGUAUGAAUGGGUUUACGUGAUAGUUGCUGUGUCACAAAAACUUAAUUGAAAUUAACUUUUAGGUGAAGAGGCCUAGUUGAGUAUAAAGGACGACAAGACCCUAGAAGCUUUACUAAGGAUAAUUUACAAGGUAAUUCAUUCCAGUUUUGUUGGGGCAACAUAGUUAGAAAAUAUAACUCUUUUUUAUAUUAACUUACAAGUUAAAGCCACAGCAGUGAGUAAGAUAAGCUACUCUAGGGAUAACAGCGUAAUUUCUUUUAAUAGUACUUAUUGUAAAAGUAGUUUGCGACCUCGAUGUUGGAUUAAGGUAUCCUUAAGGUGUACAAUUCUUAAAGGGUUGGUCUGUUCGUCCAUUAAAACCUUACA
RNAcentral lists this ribosomal RNA (432 nucleotides) under Bathymodiolus azoricus. Its description in RNAcentral is "partial 16S ribosomal RNA". It matches the Rfam family "Bacterial large subunit ribosomal RNA", at positions 1923 to 2600 of the family's 2925-position model. The record is from RNAcentral. Lineage: Eukaryota; Metazoa; Mollusca; Bivalvia; Mytilida; Modiolidae.